Molecule: long non-coding RNA, 272 nt
Organism: Peromyscus eremicus (cactus mouse)
Lineage: Eukaryota; Metazoa; Chordata; Mammalia; Rodentia; Cricetidae
Exons: 2
Source: RefSeq, a predicted model, not a curated record
AAGAAGAGGAGGAGGAGGAGGAGGAGGAGGAAGAAGAAGAGGAAGAAGGCCCUACACAGAUGCUAACAGUCACUGUGAUGAUGAAGUACCUGCAUGGGGCAGGUUAUACAUAUAUGUGUGCAUGAAUAUAUAAUUAUUGUGAAUUCUGCCUCCCUGGUUUUGCAACUGUGCUGGGUGCCAGGGGUAUGACCAAGGUUAAGUUCACCAUAUACUUCCCAAAUUGAAGACAAGAAGUUGCAGAAUCUCACGGAAUAAAAGAGGAAUGGACCUAA